RNAcentral lists this ribosomal RNA (1023 nucleotides) under Pediococcus pentosaceus. RNAcentral describes it as "bacterial SSU rRNA". It matches the Rfam family "Bacterial small subunit ribosomal RNA", at positions 41 to 1014 of the family's 1533-position model. Lineage: Bacteria; Bacillati; Bacillota; Bacilli; Lactobacillales; Lactobacillaceae. The record is from RNAcentral.
GGCAUGCUACAGACUAUAAUGCAGUCGACGAACUUCCGUUAAUUGAUUAUGACGUACUUGUACUGAUUGAGAUUUUAACACGAAGUGAGUGGCGAACGGGUGAGUAACACGUGGGUAACCUGCCCAGAAGUAGGGGAUAACACCUGGAAACAGAUGCUAAUACCGUAUAACAGAGAAAACCGCAUGGUUUUCUUUUAAAAGAUGGCUCUGCUAUCACUUCUGGAUGGACCCGCGGCGUAUUAGCUAGUUGGUGAGGUAAAGGCUCACCAAGGCAGUGAUACGUAGCCGACCUGAGAGGGUAAUCGGCCACAUUGGGACUGAGACACGGCCCAGACUCCUACGGGAGGCAGCAGUAGGGAAUCUUCCACAAUGGACGCAAGUCUGAUGGAGCAACGCCGCGUGAGUGAAGAAGGGUUUCGGCUCGUAAAGCUCUGUUGUUAAAGAAGAACGUGGGUAAGAGUAACUGUUUACCCAGUGACGGUAUUUAACCAGAAAGCCACGGCUAACUACGUGCCAGCAGCCGCGGUAAUACGUAGGUGGCAAGCGUUAUCCGGAUUUAUUGGGCGUAAAGCGAGCGCAGGCGGUCUUUUAAGUCUAAUGUGAAAGCCUUCGGCUCAACCGAAGAAGUGCAUUGGAAACUGGGAGACUUGAGUGCAGAAGAGGACAGUGGAACUCCAUGUGUAGCGGUGAAAUGCGUAGAUAUAUGGAAGAACACCAGUGGCGAAGGCGGCUGUCUGGUCUGCAACUGACGCUGAGGCUCGAAAGCAUGGGUAGCGAACAGGAUUAGAUACCCUGGUAGUCCAUGCCGUAAACGAUGAUUACUAGGUGUUGGAGGGUUUCCGCCCUUCAGUGCUGCAGCUAACGCAUUAAAGUAAUCCGCCUGGGGGAGUACGACCGCAAAGGUUGAAACUCAAAAAGAAUUUGACGGGGGCCCGCACAAGCGGGUGAGCAUGUGUUUAUUCGAAGCUACGCGAAGAACCUUACCAGGUCUGACAUCUGUCUGAACAGUCUAAGAAGAAUAAA